CCUACGGGAGGCAGCAGUAGGGAAUUUUCGGCAAUGGGGGGAACCCUGACCGAGCAACGCCGCGUGAACGAAGAAGGUAUUCGUAAUGUAAAGUUCUUUUAACAGGGAAGAAAGAUAAAUUUGACGGUACCUGAAGAAUAAGCUCCGGCUAACUACGUGCCAGCAGCCGCGGCAAAAAGUAGGGAGCGAGCGUUAUCCGGAAUUAUUGGGCGUAAGGGGUGCGUAGAUGGCAUAGAAAGGCUUUUGUAAAAAUGCUGGGCCAAACCCAGUAGGGCAAAAGAUACUGGAAAGCUAGAGUAUGACAGAGGCAAGUGGAACUACAUGUGGAGCGGUAAAAUGCGUAAAUAUAUGUAAGAACACCAGUGGCGAAGGCGGCUUGCUGGAUCGAAACUGACAUUGAGGCACGAAAGCGUGGGGAGCAAACAGGAUUAGAUACCCCUGUAGUC
Molecule: ribosomal RNA, 446 nt
Filed under: uncultured bacterium
Lineage: Bacteria
Description: partial 16S ribosomal RNA
Rfam family: Bacterial small subunit ribosomal RNA
Source: RNAcentral